RNAcentral lists this transfer RNA (72 nucleotides) under Marmota marmota marmota (Alpine marmot). It matches the Rfam family "tRNA". Rfam says of the family: Transfer RNA (tRNA) molecules are approximately 80 nucleotides in length. Their secondary structure includes four short double-helical elements and three loops (D, anti-codon, and T loops). RNAcentral also lists the same sequence under 4 other names. Lineage: Eukaryota; Metazoa; Chordata; Mammalia; Rodentia; Sciuridae. The record is from Rfam by way of RNAcentral.
GGGAGUAUAGUCCACUGGUAGGGCACCUGCCUAGCGUGCAUGAGGCCCUGGGUUCAAUCCCCAGCACCACCA